RNAcentral lists this ribosomal RNA (468 nucleotides) under uncultured bacterium. Its description in RNAcentral is "partial 16S ribosomal RNA". It matches the Rfam family "Bacterial small subunit ribosomal RNA", at positions 28 to 507 of the family's 1533-position model. The record is from RNAcentral.
GACGAACGCUGGCGGCGUGCUUAACACAUGCAAGUCGAACGGAAAGGCCCUGCUUUUGUGGGGUGCUCGAGUGGCGAACGGGUGAGUAACACGUGAGUAACCUGCCCUUGACUUUGGGAUAACUUCAGGAAACUGGGGCUAAUACCGGAUAGGAGCUCCUGCUGCAUGGUGGGGGUUGGAAAGUUUCGGCGGUUGGGGUUGGACUCGCGGCUUAUCAGCUUGUUGGUGGGGUAGUGGCUUACCAAGGCUUUGACGGGUAGCCGGCCUGAGAGGGUGACCGGCCACAUUGGGACUGAGAUACGGCCCAGACUCCUACGGGAGGCAGCAGUGGGGAAUAUUGCACAAUGGGCGGAAGCCUGAUGCAGCAACGCCGCGUGCGGGAUGACGGCCUUCGGGCUGUAACCCGCUUUCGCCUGUGACGAAGCGUGAGUGACGGUAAUGGGUAAAGAAGCACCGGCUAACUACGUG